GCCGCAGUGGCGGAACUGGCAGACGCGCAGGACUUAAAAUCCUGUGGUGGUGACAUCGUACCGGUUCGAUUCCGGUCUGCGGCA
Non-coding RNA from Roseburia sp. 499, 84 nucleotides. The record is from Rfam. NCBI's taxonomy places the organism in Bacteria, Bacillati, Bacillota, Clostridia, Lachnospirales, Lachnospiraceae.